Molecule: long non-coding RNA, 1027 nt
Organism: Drosophila miranda
Lineage: Eukaryota; Metazoa; Arthropoda; Insecta; Diptera; Drosophilidae
Exons: 2
Source: RefSeq, a predicted model, not a curated record
UUGCACUCUGCAUACCAUGAUUUAACAUGAGAACUCAACUGUCGAAACAGCACUCGCAAUGAAAUUAAUACGUAUACCGAAAUGUCCUUAUUCUGACUGCCGUAAUCAUCGGAUAAGAUGGGAAUUUCUUCCCAUAAAUUAUUCAUAGUUCCUCCAGAAUGUCAUGAAUUUUUCCACCACUGACCCCAAAAGGGGUUUGCAGAUCCAGGGAUUUUUUUGGCGAAUGAUCCCCUGAUGAUCCUCUCUGAUGACACCUAAAGGUUCUUAUCUUUUACUGACGCUGACACUAACCUUAUUCACAGCAAGCUCUUUUUUGCGAAAAAAAAUUGCAAAAAGUUUGUUGAAAACUAUUUAGUGUUACAAUUCGAACACUCAAUUGUGAAAAAAAUAGACGACAAGGUAACUCGAAAUGAAAGCAUUUCUAAUUGACAAAUAGUUUUGUGGAAACAAGGAAGCAAUUCGACAAGCAAUUUUCAACACUCAAUUGUGAAACAAAUUGGUGACAAGGUGACUACAAAUUUAUUAUUGGACACAAACUUAAGGCCUUUUUCCUGAGAACUCGAUUGAGGACAAUCCGAUAUGUGCUUGAGGAGCGCCAAGCCUGUGAUAGCUCGCCUUCACACAAAGCCUGAUAGCACACCUCUAACUUUAAGGUUUGGGACUCAAAUGUGUCCUGUUGGGACUCGAAGAACACCUCAACACUUUUUACGACAAUCAUCCCGUGUCGGGAAAGAGGCAAUCAAAUAUACAGGGAAUACAGACAGAUAUACAGCCAAAAAGAGAGAGUUUGUGUAUCAAAAACUAUGGAUUUAUGUCCUGCACUUACAAGUAUCAGAAACUAUAACUUUUUCCUCCUCAAAAAACUCUAUACAGACAGAACAUACCCCUGAUCCCCACGAUUUACAGGGUACAAAUAGGAAACUUUUGCUCUUGAGGAAAAAGUUUGAGUACAAGGCAAUAAUAAGGAGCUCAUCAUGAAUUUUAGAAUGAAUUGAGAAAGUAAAAUAAAGCACACACACACAAUGGA